This 229-nucleotide long non-coding RNA is filed under the name Mytilus galloprovincialis (Mediterranean mussel). Lineage: Eukaryota; Metazoa; Mollusca; Bivalvia; Mytilida; Mytilidae. The record is from RNAcentral.
UUUGUUGUUUUUGUAAUGAUCUAACACAGAAAGUUUCAUGGGUUAGGUCAUUGCUGUUGUUGGUCAGGUCAUUGUCAACGUUACAAAAGUCUCUUUUUGGAAUUUUUUAAUAAUUUUUUCCUAUAUUUAAAUGAUUAAAUUUUAUUAUUAUUUCAAGUUUAACAUAAAUCUUUUAAGAAAGAAAAAAAGUUCUUGGCAUUUCAAUUUGGUCCUAUCAUUGUCAGCGUUG